ACUUUUACAGUGCGCUCAAAGGUUAGUACACCGGAUGCAUGCGCGUUCCAUUCAUUCUACAAUUUAUGCGUAAUUACGCGAUUAUAACAAAUUAACGCAACUCUUUACACAUUGCAUGCGUUGGAGUAACUUGUUGAAGGAGAACACCACAUGUACCAUGUUUACAAAUAUUAGUGAGUGAUUAAUAAUGUAAAUGAUCGAACAUGAAUUGAUGUCAUCAGCUAACCAUAAUUUCAUAAGAAUAGGCGUAGUCACAGAUCAUGAGCAUGUCUUCAACAAUGUUUCCGUUACUGCGCUGUAGGUGCGCUGGUGCUUGAUCUUCAUCCCGAGUUGGCAACAUGUUCAACUUUAAUUAAAUGAAAGAGUUCGGAAGGCAACUUCGUUCUGUCUCACCAGCCUCACCAAGGACAACUAUGCAUUUGAUGGCACUGUCAGAUUCAACACCAGAAAUGCAACAAUUUUAUUUUUCAAAUUCCAUACAUCACUUUCUAUGGACUGUAUCGAAGCUGACCAAGAGAAUAUUGACAGUUUUGCAAUGUUUUUUUUUGCCACUCAGUUGUUGUAUUCUAAAUGCCCAUUCACUCAGGUACAAUACAAGUGCUAAUCCCGGGUGAGAAAGAGGCUUACAUCGAGGUGAAGUUUAAACAACUGGAUGGUGACAAAGCCACUGUGGAGACCAAAGAUGUGCGGAUAGGCCUCCUACCUGAUGGGGAUCAAUUCAGGUGACCUCACCAAAGGUCUGCUGCACCCUCGGGUCAAAGUGUGUAACGAGUACAUCGUCAAGGGCCAGACUGUUUGCAGGGUUUAAGAUCUUCGAGGUUCAACAACUUUGAGUAGCUGUGCAUAAACUUCCCCAAUGAGAAACUACAACAGUAUUUCAACCACCACAUGUUCAUCCUGGAGCUGGAUGAGUAUAAGAGGGAGGGUAUUGAGUGUACCUUCAUCAACUUUGGCUUGGAUCUACAAACCUGUAUCAAACUCAUUGAGAAGGUAUGUGUCUGUUGUUUCAGCCAUUCAAAUAAGGGGCUAGAGCAGAGGAACUGGUACAUUUUGCCUGUGAAGAGUGGUUUGAUUUCUGUGUGAUUUACUCUCGUUUGUUUCCUGCAGUCCAUGGGCACAAAGUAUACUGCCCAUCCUAAAACUUUAUUUAUUUCUAAAACAGGAAACACUUAUCUCCCUCACUAGCUUUAAGCACCAGCUGUCAGAGCAGCUCACAGAUUACUGCACGUGUACAUAGCCCAUCUAUAAU
Salmo salar (Atlantic salmon) is the source of this 1249-nucleotide non-coding RNA. Lineage: Eukaryota; Metazoa; Chordata; Actinopteri; Salmoniformes; Salmonidae. The record is from RefSeq and is a predicted model, not a curated record.